RNAcentral lists this ribosomal RNA (908 nucleotides) under Arthrobacter humicola. RNAcentral's name for it is "bacterial SSU rRNA". It matches the Rfam family "Bacterial small subunit ribosomal RNA", at positions 1 to 923 of the family's 1533-position model. Lineage: Bacteria; Bacillati; Actinomycetota; Actinomycetes; Micrococcales; Micrococcaceae. The record is from RNAcentral.
UUAUUAUUUUUUUUUUUUUUCCGUCAGAUGAACGCUGGCGGCGUGCUUAACACAUGCAAGUCGAACGAUGAAGGGAGCUUGCUCCGUGGAUUAGUGGCGAACGGGUGAGUAACACGUGAGUAACCUGCCCUUAACUCUGGGAUAAGCCUGGGAAACUGGGUCUAAUACCGGAUAUGACUCCUCAUCGCAUGGUGGGGGGUGGAAAGCUUUAUUGUGGUUUUGGAUGGACUCGCGGCCUAUCAGCUUGUUGGUGAGGUAAUGGCUCACCAAGGCGACGACGGGUAGCCGGCCUGAGAGGGUGACCGGCCACACUGGGACUGAGACACGGCCCAGACUCCUACGGGAGGCAGCAGUGGGGAAUAUUGCACAAUGGGCGAAAGCCUGAUGCAGCGACGCCGCGUGAGGGAUGACGGCCUUCGGGUUGUAAACCUCUUUCAGUAGGGAAGAAGCGAAAGUGACGGUACCUGCAGAAGAAGCGCCGGCUAACUACGUGCCAGCAGCCGCGGUAAUACGUAGGGCGCAAGCGUUAUCCGGAAUUAUUGGGCGUAAAGAGCUCGUAGGCGGUUUGUCGCGUCUGCUGUGAAAGACCGGGGCUCAACUCCGGUUCUGCAGUGGGUACGGGCAGACUAGAGUGAUGUAGGGGAGACUGGAAUUCCUGGUGUAGCGGUGAAAUGCGCAGAUAUCAGGAGGAACACCGAUGGCGAAGGCAGGUCUCUGGGCAUUAACUGACGCUGAGGAGCGAAAGCAUGGGGAGCGAACAGGAUUAGAUACCCUGGUAGUCCAUGCCGUAAACGUUGGGCACUAGGUGUGGGGGACAUUCCACGUUUUCCGCGCCGUAGCUAACGCAUUAAGUGCCCCGCCUGGGGAGUACGGCCGCAAGGCUAAAAUCAGGAAUUUUUUUUGCGCGG